AUUGAACGCUGGCGGCAGGCCUAACACAUGCAAGUCGAAUGGUAACAGGAAACAGCUUGCUGUUUCGCUGACGAGUGGCGGACGGGUGAGUAAUGUCUGGGAAACUGCCUGAUGGAGGGGGAUAACUACUGGAAACGGUAGCUAAUACCGCAUAACGUCGCAAGACCAAAGAGGGGGACCUUCGGGCCUCUUGCCAUCAGAUGUGCCCAGAUGGGAUUAGCUAGUAGGUGGGGUAACGGCUCACCUAGGCGACGAUCCCUAGCUGGUCUGAGGGGAUGACCAGCCACACUGGAACUGAGACACGGUCCAGACUCCUACGGGAGGCAGCAGUGGGGAAUAUUGCACAAUGGGCGCAAGCCUGAUGCAGCCAUGCCGCGUGUAUGAAGAAGGCCUUCGGGUUGUAAAGUACUUUCAGCGGGGAGGAAGGGAGUAAAGUUAAUACCUUUGCUCAUUGACGUUACCCGCAGAAGAAGCACCGGCUAACUCCGUG
Molecule: ribosomal RNA, 490 nt
Filed under: uncultured bacterium
Lineage: Bacteria
Description: partial 16S ribosomal RNA
Rfam family: Bacterial small subunit ribosomal RNA
Source: RNAcentral